CCCAUUGUAGCCGAUCUGGCCCCUAGAAAGCUCCAGCACGAGUCAGUUCGACUCCGAUUUUCACAGCGAGCAGAGCACACAUAUGAAGAUGCCAACUUCUUAUCAAAUCGCAUUGACCUUUGCUUUGGUACUUUGCCACGUCCAACUUCAAGGCGUGGCUCCUGGCCGGGUCAUCCAUCACAGUCAAGUGCAUCGACGAGCGAACACCACUCGCCUAACGCCAGCACACACGCACCAUGUGGCGUCGAAUCAGACACGGUUUGGCCAAGCCAGAAGAUUGAAUAAUACAUCGAGUGUAUCGUCUCCAAGAAACGUUACCGUGCCUGUUGCUCACAACCAAACGUGGCCAAUACAAAAUGACCAGCCUGGUUUUAGACAGCCCUCCCAGUCUCCUGUUCACAACCAAACAUGGCUGUACACCAAUCAGACCUACUUCAGCUCGGCACCUGGAACUAUACCUUUAUAUCCUCCAGAGGGGCUUCCAAGCCAAGUGCCGACGUCAUCUCUAUGGGAUGGAUCAGCAUCCGGUAUCUUUCUAGCGGACAAUAAUACACUUGUUGGCAACUCAUCGUCAACACAGGGUCCGAGUCCAGCGCUUGUGGCGAGCAACCACAAUGGCUCUUUGGCCUCGGCAUUAUCCAGCAAUUCGACGAGACUGCCACUUGCGCCAGGCAGCAAGCCGUAUUCCUCUAGUCCAUAUGCAAAUCUGGUUUACUAAACGAAGAGGAUGAUAGACGAUGAUAGGCUCCCCCAAAUGAAUAAAGCUUGGACUUAAAUUUUUUCAAAAAACAUUUUAUUUCGCUGCCAUUGCGUUGCGGCGAUCAGUUAAUUGGACCAUCGGUAAAAAUAUGUUGGUUGCUUUCCGGUAUUCCAGAAGUGUUAAAUAAAAAUGUAUGUGUGUAGAAAUGAUGAAUUUUCCAUAAAUGGGCUUGGCUUAGACAGGGGUGCGGAUAUUUUUGGGACGGUGAUCACGGCAUCAUCAAGUAUAUCAGCUUUGAACCAUCGAAUAAAUUAUAUUGUGAUUGCCUAAGUUAACGCUGCGCCAAGAUUUUUGGAAUACCACCGAUGAUUUUCUAAGCCGAAGUGGAGCGGAUCCCUCGCCGCCGUCCAGCGCUCCCACGCCGCAGUCAAGAUCUCCCCCGCCGCAGUCAAGUGCUCCCUCGCCGCCGUCAGAAGCCACAUCCCUCGCCGCCGUCAGCAACCACAUCCCACGCCGCCGUCAAUUCAAUCCUCCCUCCAGUUCCCACGCCGCAGUCAUGAUCAUAGCGCUUGGCGCAUAGAGCCCUUGCCAAAAUCCCACGCAGCAAAAUGGUUAUCCCACGCCGCAGUCUUGACGUUCGGAUCCAUCCAUCGCCGCCGUCAUGUGUAAGUCGGGAUCCCUCGCCGCCGUCGAUUUGGAAUCUCACCACGCCGUCGUUGUGCAUAUUGAAUCCCACGCUGCAGUCAAAUCCGAAUUAAAUGAAACUUGCAAUCCACGAACAAAAUCUAAUUCUCCUCACGAAGGGUCCUCACAGAGCAAAGUUAAGCGUCAACAUCACAUUAGUUAAGCGACCAGUAGCGAAGCGAUAAGUGAAUGCCACAUGCCACCGCCAACGGUGGUAAUGGUAAUGGCAAUGGCGAUGGCGAUGGCGUUGGCGAUCACCGCGUCCAACUGCAGCAGUGUUGCGAAGAAGGGGCAAAUGUUGGAGAACGGUCUGAAGUUGUCAUCAGUAUCAUGUCAUUAAAGCAGAGUCAACAAGCUAUCCCAAGCCAGUGGUACGAGGAACGAAUUGGUACGGAAUUGUUAUUGGUGCAGGUCGAUGGAAGUGUUCAGGAUAAUGAUAUGUGGCCUGCAUCUCAGAUCUUGGACCAGUCAAUAUGCUGCUCCAGAAAGCGAUCGCAGAAGCCACUGGCGAUGUCGAAUUGAACAGAAGGCUCGGCUCCCAGAGAUAUCUCUUAGCCGGUUCUCGUAGCGAAAAUGAUCAAUAGCGUGCACUCCCAGUCGUUUAGUGCGCCUCUUGAGUCCACACAGGAUGCGAUUAGAUGAUUCAAAGAGGCCAAUGAAGGAAUGCCUCGAAGGUAGUACAAGGUCGAAGGUAUCAAAAGAUUGAAAAUGUAUGUCCUCUGUAUGCUGCUGCUCCCACUCCUCACUCCUCACUGCCAUGGAUCUUGCCAUUGAUCUAUAAAAGUCGUGGUCCUCCCAUUCAAAUGUUCCCUGCGGCAACAACUGGUACGUCUAGGUGCGACAUGGACCGCUCCAAAAGCCUUUGGAAGGAUAUCCGGUUGCACUCUUCAGGGGAAGUCUGCUACAGCCAUGGCUUUUAAAUUUACAUGUCACAGUAUAACAUAACAUCUUACAUAAGAAAUUUAAAACAAAUUUAAAGGCAACAAAACAUUAACAUUAUCUACGCAAGGUAUUUAAAGAGAACAUAAUUUGAUAGCUCUAACAACUGCAUUACAAAUGCAGUCUGGAUCCUGGACGUGGGCCUAGAAGAGUCUCGCUCUUUAUGAGUCUUUAGGAG
Long non-coding RNA from Drosophila pseudoobscura, 2501 nucleotides. RefSeq lists it as uncharacterized. The transcript is spliced from 2 exons. The record is from RefSeq and is a predicted model, not a curated record. NCBI's taxonomy places the organism in Eukaryota, Metazoa, Arthropoda, Insecta, Diptera, Drosophilidae.